GACGAACGCUGGCGGCGUGCUUAACACAUGCAAGUCGAACGAUGAAGCUGGAGCUUGCUCCGGUGGAUUAGUGGCGAACGGGUGAGUAACACGUGAGAAAUCUGCCCUUCACUCUGGAAUAACUGCGGGAAACUGUAGCUAAUACCGGAUACUUUCCCUGGUGGGCAUCCACUAGGGAAGAAAGAAUUUCGGUGAAGGAUGAUUUCGCGGCCUAUCAGCUAGGUGGUGAGGUAAGGGCUCACCAAGGCGACGACGGGUAGCCGGCCUGAGAGGGUGACCGGCCACACUGGGACUGAGACACGGCCCAGACUCCUACGGGAGGCAGCAGUGGGGAAUAUUGCACAAUGGGCGAAAGCCUGAUGCAGCAACGCCGCGUGAGGGAUGAAGGCCUUCGGGUUGUAAACCUCUUUUAGCAGGGAAGAAGCGAAAGUGACGGUACCUGCAGAAAAAGCACCGGCUAACUACGUGCCAGCAGCCGCCGUAA
Molecule: ribosomal RNA, 484 nt
Filed under: uncultured bacterium
Lineage: Bacteria
Description: partial 16S ribosomal RNA
Rfam family: Bacterial small subunit ribosomal RNA
Source: RNAcentral